ACUGGCAGGCUAGAGUCUUGUAGAGGGGGGUAGAAUUCCAGGUGUAGCGGUGAAAUGCGUAGAGAUCUGGAGGAAUACCGGUGGCGAAGGCGGCCCCCUGGACAAAGACUGACGCUCAGGUGCGAAAGCGUGGGGAGCAAACAGGAUUAGAUACCCUGGUAGUCCACGCCGUAAACGAUGUCGAUUUGGAGGUUGUGCCCUUGAGGCGUGGCUUCCGGAGCUAACGCGUUAAAUCGACCGCCUGGGGAGUACGGCCGCAAGGUUAAAACUCAAAUGAAUUGACGGGGGCCCGCACAAGCGGUGGAGCAUGUGGUUUAAUUCGAUGCAACGCGAAGAACCUUACCUGGUCUUGACAUCCACAGAACUUUCCAGAGAUGGAUUGGUGCCUUCGGGAACUGUGAGACAG
RNAcentral lists this ribosomal RNA (406 nucleotides) under Klebsiella pneumoniae. RNAcentral describes it as "bacterial SSU rRNA". It matches the Rfam family "Bacterial small subunit ribosomal RNA", at positions 632 to 1037 of the family's 1533-position model. The record is from RNAcentral. Lineage: Bacteria; Pseudomonadati; Pseudomonadota; Gammaproteobacteria; Enterobacterales; Enterobacteriaceae.